Molecule: long non-coding RNA, 884 nt
Organism: Mercenaria mercenaria
Lineage: Eukaryota; Metazoa; Mollusca; Bivalvia; Venerida; Veneridae
Exons: 8
Source: RefSeq, a predicted model, not a curated record
CUUUAAAAAGAAUGCCAAAUUUUGUAAACGAUGUUUUACAAGUAAACUUUCUUCAGCAAGGCUUCCGUUAUUACAAAUUGCACCACCCCAAACUAAAUUAGUGUACACAACGGUAGUGCUUUCAUACUGUCGCACUGACAAUGUUUGACGUGACGUUCUGUGUAUAGAAUGGAAUGUGUGACAUCACGCUCUGUGUAUAGAAUGCCCCAAACUACUGUAUGACAUCACGUCCGGUAAACAAAAUUAGCUGAAGAUAAAGAAGGCAGGGCAAGAAAUGGCUGUCUGUCCACACUCUGGACAAGAAAUGAGCAUGCAUUGAGGGAACAUUAUUUACUAUGAUUUAGUUCCCAGCAGACUCCAGAUAGAAGUUCUUUCCAGAUGUAAAGUGAAUUGAUGAAAUAUUGAAAAAGUGUUUGAGUGUUGGUGUUGGUAUUGUCUAGAUAUAAAAAAAAUUAAUGAGCAGCUGCCAGAUGAAUGUACUUUCCAGAUGUAAACCAUCACAGAUGAUGCCUGUUUGUAUUUACCAGUGUUUAAAAAGUGAUCAGAUUUGAUGUGGGUGAUUCAAAACAAACCUUCAAAUUGACAAUGGCAAAAAGCAAGUGGAAAUGGAAUACUCCAGUUGAUGAAAAUGUUAAACAAAGAAAGAGAUAAAGCACUGUAUAUACUGCGAUAAACAACGGUUGACGCGCGGACCAGUAAGAGAGCAUUAUGACAACAAUUAUGACGUCAAAUUGCCGCAUGACAGCCAGUUCAUUCAUCCUCGGGUCUGCUCAGCUUUGUCAGUUCACAAAUAUUUUGUUAGAAAGUCUGCAAAGCCACCGACUUGGAUACAUUGGUUAUUUUCCUUGUACCAACAAUAUGGAAAUAAAAGUUGUUUAUUAGAA